Molecule: ribosomal RNA, 856 nt
Filed under: Virgibacillus halodenitrificans
Lineage: Bacteria; Bacillati; Bacillota; Bacilli; Caryophanales; Bacillaceae
Description: bacterial SSU rRNA
Rfam family: Bacterial small subunit ribosomal RNA
Source: RNAcentral
UGCAGUCGAGCGCGGGAAGCAAGCUGAUCCUCUUCGGAGGUGACGCUUGUGGAACGAGCGGCGGACGGGUGAGUAACACGUGGGCAACCUGCCUGUAAGACUGGGAUAACCCCGGGAAACCGGGGCUAAUACCGGAUAAUACUUUUCAUCACCUGAUGGAAAGUUGAAAGGUGGCUUCUUGCUACCACUUACAGAUGGGCCCGCGGCGCAUUAGCUAGUUGGUGAGGUAACGGCUCACCAAGGCAACGAUGCGUAGCCGACCUGAGAGGGUGAUCGGCCACACUGGGACUGAGACACGGCCCAGACUCCUACGGGAGGCAGCAGUAGGGAAUCUUCCGCAAUGGACGAAAGUCUGACGGAGCAACGCCGCGUGAGUGAUGAAGGUUUUCGGAUCGUAAAGCUCUGUUGUUAGGGAAGAACAAGUGCCGUUCGAAUAGGGCGGCACCUUGACGGUACCUAACCAGAAAGCCCCGGCUAACUACGUGCCAGCAGCCGCGGUAAUACGUAGGGGGCAAGCGUUGUCCGGAAUUAUUGGGCGUAAAGCGCGCGCAGGCGGUCCUUUAAGUCUGAUGUGAAAGCCCACGGCUUAACCGUGGAGGGUCAUUGGAAACUGGAGGACUUGAGUACAGAAGAGGAGAGUGGAAUUCCACGUGUAGCGGUGAAAUGCGUAGAGAUGUGGAGGAACACCAGUGGCGAAGGCGACUCUCUGGGUCUGUAACUGACGCUGAGCGCGAAAGCGUGGGGAGCGAACAGGAUUAGAUACCCUGGUAGUCCACGCCGUAAACGAUGAGUGCUAGGUGUUAGGGGGUUUCCGCCCCUUAUGCUGAAGUUAACGCAUUAAGCACUCCGCUGGGGA